GCCAGCAGCCAUAUCGCCCUGCAACUCACAGCUGGCAGCCUCACUGAAACUCAGCAGGUGUGAGCCUGGUCAGUACCUGGAUGGGAGACCUCCUGGGAAAGCUGAGGCUACUGCUGGAA
Molecule: ribosomal RNA, 119 nt
Filed under: Lepisosteus oculatus (spotted gar)
Lineage: Eukaryota; Metazoa; Chordata; Actinopteri; Semionotiformes; Lepisosteidae
Source: RNAcentral